Molecule: ribosomal RNA, 315 nt
Filed under: Triticum aestivum (bread wheat)
Lineage: Eukaryota; Viridiplantae; Streptophyta; Magnoliopsida; Poales; Poaceae
Description: partial small subunit ribosomal RNA
Source: RNAcentral
AUGACAUGGCAGUGCUUUCAUAGCUCACUAUCCAUCUGCGAUUCACCAGGGCUCUGUGGCAACUUGGUGGCACAACAUGUAACCUUGGUAUCUCACGCACACCCAGGUGGAUCAUCACCUGACAAAAUAGGACCAACAAAAUGUUACCUUGACGGCAUGGCAACACAGGAUCUCCUGCUCCUUGCACAUGCACAUGAAUGCUUCACCGUCUUCUCUAGCAUUGACCCCAUAUUCCAACCUAGAUCAUUUUUCCCUGGUUUUACUGUUGGGAUGCGGUGCUAUGUAUUUCAAGUUGGCAAUUACUGCCUCCACUAA